GGGGGUAUAGCUCAGUGGUUAGAGCACCCGCAUACGUAUCGGAAGGUCGGGGGUCGACACCCUCUGCCUCCA
Molecule: transfer RNA, 72 nt
Filed under: Pristionchus pacificus
Lineage: Eukaryota; Metazoa; Nematoda; Chromadorea; Rhabditida; Neodiplogasteridae
Rfam family: tRNA
About the family: Transfer RNA (tRNA) molecules are approximately 80 nucleotides in length.
Source: Rfam by way of RNAcentral